GGGCCCGCACAAGCGGUGGAGCAUGUGGUUUAAUUCGAUGAUACGCGAGGAACCUUACCAGGGCUUAAAUGUAGUGGGACAGGUCUAGAGAUAGACCCUUCUUCGGACUCAUUACAAGGUGCUGCAUGGUUGUCGUCAGCUCGUGCCGUGAGGUGUCAGGUUAAGUCCUAUAACGAGCGCAACCCCUAUCGUUAGUUGCCAGCGAGUAAUGUCGGGAACUCUAACGAAACUGCCAGUGCAAACUGUGAGGAAGGUGGGGAUGACGUCAAAUCAUCACGGCCCUUACGUCCUGGGCUACACACGUGCUACAAUGGCCGGUACAGAGGGCAGCCACACCGCAAGGUGGAGCGAAUCCUUAAAAACCGGUCUCAGUUCGGAUCGGGGUCUGCAACUCGACUCCGUGAAGUCGGAAUU
RNAcentral lists this ribosomal RNA (414 nucleotides) under uncultured bacterium. RNAcentral describes it as "bacterial SSU rRNA". It matches the Rfam family "Bacterial small subunit ribosomal RNA", at positions 917 to 1333 of the family's 1533-position model. The record is from RNAcentral.